Molecule: long non-coding RNA, 1130 nt
Organism: Daphnia pulicaria
Lineage: Eukaryota; Metazoa; Arthropoda; Branchiopoda; Diplostraca; Daphniidae
Exons: 8
Source: RefSeq, a predicted model, not a curated record
AGGAAGACCAUGGGAAGACUAGUCCUGUUAGAAAUGUAAUUUAGAUUUUGUAGGCCUUGGUUUCUUAUCUUUUAUUUACAAUUAACAUUUUACAAUUUAAAUUUAUUUUCUUAAUUGCCAGCAGUCCAGCACGCCAGGAGAAGCAACACCUUUUUGGCAACGUUGUUUAAACCAAUGGUUUUCUUGUUUUCUUAUAAGGAAAGAAAAACUUAAAUAAUCAUUCUUGUCUCAGCUGCUGUUUGAUUCAGGUAGUGGUUGUUCCUUCAUCCUACAGAAAUCUGAUGUCACUCUCACGUGGCGAUGUAAAUUGGGUAAAUUAUAGGGUCACUGACUUGAUAUGGCAGCUGGGAUGAAACCACGAGUAAGUCAAGUCUGGUGCAGGUCUGGUUGUUGAUGGUGGCUUCAUUGCUUGGUUUAUUCAAUACAGGCUGUUCGCUAGUUGGCAAUUUCGAGGGAAACUACGCGGCAUAGUGUGGGUCUGCGUGGAUGGAUUCGGCGGUUAAGUAUCGCAAAACUCUACAACCAGUAUCCGCCGACCUGGGUUUCAUCUGUAUGUUUCCGUGUUCUUUUGAAUUGAUUCACUGUCAUUGGUAGUUAUCAACGGUUUGAUGGCGGGCUGUCCGGUCUUUUACUUAAAAUCAGGGGACAGACACUUUGAUGGUAUGAUACUGUCCAGAUCGUUUCUUCCUGAACAAGUAAGACUGCAUUGCUGGUGUUGGCUUUGGCCUCUCCGCUAGGGCAUCAUUGUGCUUUCUGGCAGUAACAAAAGGAUGAAUGCUUCGGAAUCCUGGCCAUCUGAAGUUGGCGGACUAAAAUGUGGAACACACAUGAUGGUUGGCUGAAUUAAAGGCGACAUUGGUGUAACACACGUUCGGAUAUUAGGUUUUUGAGCGAACUGGCUGAAAUAUUGGUGCCAUCUCAAAUGGAAAGUUGAUUGUUCCCAGGUAUUAAUUUGGCGUACCGGAAAGUUUGGAGUAAGAACAGAAACAAGUUGGUUCACAAGAUUUUAUUUGAGUAAUUUGCUUUCAUGAUCUGUCAGAUUGUUCGAAAUGUUUAAAUUGGGGAUACAAACUUUAGUUUCUGUCGACAGGUUUUAUGAUGUAAACCAAUACAAAUGCUUAACUGUGUAA